UAUCUCUCAUCUCUCCUAUUUUAUAGUUAUAUUAUUUCAUUGAGGAUAAUGUAUGUUUUAAGUGUGGGGGAGGGAAUCAUUUACUUUGUUUUAUUUUAUUAAGUUUCUUUGUUUUUGUUUGUUUUUCUUACAUGAAAAAAUGCACGUUUUUUCUGUGGUUUUUGAGUUACAAUUAUGAGUAUUUUCUUUGUUCUCUUGAUUAAGGAAUUGUGGUGUGAUGUGAGUGAUUCUUUUUGUGCAUUCUUAGUAUGAUAUGUAGGACUAAACUCUAAUGUGUACAUCAUUUAUGGUAGAUCAAUUAACCUUGUGAUAUUUUAAGUCUUUUAAUAGAUAACAUUCAAAAAUUCAUGUCUUUUUUCUUUUUUGAUUUCACGCAUGUAUGUUAGUCUCUAAAACCUCAAUUUACUCUUUUU
Molecule: long non-coding RNA, 413 nt
Filed under: Lathyrus oleraceus (garden pea)
Lineage: Eukaryota; Viridiplantae; Streptophyta; Magnoliopsida; Fabales; Fabaceae
Description: Pisum sativum (pea) long non-coding RNA (PSAT_LNC026142)
Source: RNAcentral